This is a long non-coding RNA of Pogoniulus pusillus (Red-fronted tinkerbird), 958 nucleotides long. RefSeq lists it as uncharacterized. The transcript has 4 exons. The record is from RefSeq and is a predicted model, not a curated record. NCBI's taxonomy places the organism in Eukaryota, Metazoa, Chordata, Aves, Piciformes, Lybiidae.
CCCUCCAAGGGAGGUAGAUGGAGGGGGGAAAGAAGCCCUGCAGACGUUUCUCACUCAUCUACCAGCAAAUCCCAACCUGAGAAUGCCAGGUGAAGAAGCCAGCCUCUCGCUCAAGAAAUAACCCACAAGAAGCCCGGCAGCAGUCACUGCAGAGCUUGCUCAGAAGUUCACUCCCUCUGCCACAGUGUAUGCAGCUUGCCAGGUAUAGCCUGGAUGAGAACACCUCGUGCUUUUCCCGAGAUUAAUGAGAUCAGCACAUAUUCAAGCAAGGAAAAAAAAUACCACCAAGAAUCCUUCCUAAUAUAUGUGAUGGUUUAUGACCCAGAGAUUUGGCUGCAGCUCAGGCAUUAUUGGGAUCACCCCUACAGCUCUUCCAUUGCUCAGGGAUCCUGUGGUGUUCCACCUGGCAGGAGCUGGUGUGUGAAAGAUGUCCACAAAAUUGGCAGCUGAAAGGUAAAGUGGCUUCUCUGAUGGCACUGAAUACUGAGGAGGAUGUUCAACUUAAUUUAAAAGACAGCACUGGUGAGACAGCCAGAGCAGAGAUGAAAUGGACAUGGAGACGUGGGGUUUUCACUGCAAUUCAACUACCUACUUGCCUGAGGUUUGGACUUGAGGACAAAGCUGAUCCGGGCCUUGCCUCCCUCCAUUAUCCUCCAGCCUGGGGAGUUGCAGAUUCUCAGAGCAUUUGAUACUCCUGGGAAGAACAAGAUGCAUGCUGGACCUGAAUGCAAUGAAAAUACCUGUCUCCAGACUGAAAGCAAUCUCUUGUAGAAAGGCUGAGAUGCUCUGAGGACAGGUUAACUGUCUCUACCCAUGGGACAGCAAGAAUGUACCAGGCUUCUGGCACUACCAGGAUCACCAAAUAUGUGUGUGCUGGGCAUCACUUGAGACACUGACAGCAUGUGAUGUUGAGUUCUAAUAAAAAUAACACCCAGAUAUUAGCAGCCACAAGACCUGU